Long non-coding RNA from Cyprinus carpio (common carp), 1011 nucleotides. The record is from Ensembl. NCBI's taxonomy places the organism in Eukaryota, Metazoa, Chordata, Actinopteri, Cypriniformes, Cyprinidae.
UUUAUUCCGUAUUGAACCUGUGCAAAAAUGUCUGUUAACCAUUAAGCAAGUUUGAUAUUCAAUAUCAAGUCAAUCAAAGUCUCUUUUAAAUAUCUGUUUGUACCUCAGCAAUAUUUCCUCACCCUGUCUGCUUGCCCUUUACACUCUCUCUCUGAUUGUUACCUUUGAACCCCCUCAAACGUUAGUGUUGUGUUUUAAACCACAGCGGCACAUAAUCCAAUGUAUUUCAGCAACACUUUGAAAUCUCCUGAACUGACUAAAAUGCCAGUCCAUUGCCUUUGAGAAGAAUUGGUCCAAGUUACCCCUUUUUUUCUCUUGGAUUUUAACCCUCAAUAAAGCAAACACCUUCCUUUUCUCUCUCUGGCAACCCAAACCAUAGUUGGGUAGAUCCAGCAAGACUUUAUUGCACUGGAUUUGAUCCCAGCAAACAAAAGCUGCCCUGUCCACUUCAUCCCCAGAUGUUUUGUAUUGAUCUCCCUGUGGUUUUGGCAGGGUGGAGCAGCUGGGAUUGUUGCUCCCCUUUUCUCUUUUUUCGUUGCAGACAGAAUUAGAAAACAAAGGAGAAGGAAAAGUCUGCGGGUGUUUUUUGCUCCACGGUUCGUGUCUGCUGGGCGAAGUGUCACAUUUCAGGCAGAAGUGCGGCUGGCCUUGCUCACUUUGUUAUCUCACUCUCUCUUCCCCUUACCCUAUCUCUCCCUACACUCCCUGAUUAAUAAUGCAGAGUGUCUCUUCAUCUAAUGUUCGGCUGUACAGAAGGUGAGUGCUGCGGAUGGGCAAGUGAGGAGUGUACCUGUAUGCCUUCGAGGUUCAGAGACCUGGCUGAUGGCCUAAUGCUGAGAGGCAUGAGGAGGAAAUGGACAGCAGAGAGGGCGUUGGUGAAGUGUUAUGAAGCAAGCUCAUUCCCAUUGUCUCAUCCCAUAUAAGUUAAUAAGUCCCCUUUCAUCUUCUGAAAUGGCAGUGAAGCGCUGAAAGAAACAGCUCAAGUGGAACAGCAUGGAGCCGAGGUAAGUG